RNAcentral lists this ribosomal RNA (580 nucleotides) under uncultured bacterium. RNAcentral describes it as "bacterial SSU rRNA". It matches the Rfam family "Bacterial small subunit ribosomal RNA", at positions 338 to 916 of the family's 1533-position model. The record is from RNAcentral.
CCUACGGGAGGCAGCAGUGGGGAAUAUUGGACAAUGGGCGAAAGCCUGAUCCAGCAAUUCCGCGUGUGUGAAGAAAGCCUUCGGGUUGUAAAGCACUUUAGUGGGGGAAGAAACAGCUUGGCCACACCAAGCCUUGACGGUACCCCAAGAAUAAGCACCGGCUAACUCUGUGCCAGCAGCCGCGGUAAUACAGAGGGUGCAAGCGUUAAUCGGAUUUACUGGGCGUAAAGGGUGCGUAGGUGGCUAUUUAAGUCGGAUGUGAAAGCCCGGGGCUCAACCUCGGAAUUGCAUUCGAUACUGAGUGGCUAGAGUUCGGUAGAGGGCGGCGGAAUUUCCGGUGUAGCGGUGAAAUGCGUAGAUAUCGGAAGGAACAUCAAUGGCGAAGGCAGCCGCCUGGGCCUGGACUGACACUGAGGCACGAAAGCGUGGGUAGCAAACAGGAUUAGAUACCCUGGUAGUCCACGCCGUAAACGAUGAGAACUUGACGUUGGUUCGUUUUACGAAUCGGUGUCGCAGCUAACGCGAUAAGUUCUCCGCCUGGGGAGUCGGCCGCAAGGUUGAAACUCAAAUGAAUUGACGG